This 253-nucleotide ribosomal RNA is filed under the name uncultured bacterium. RNAcentral describes it as "partial 16S ribosomal RNA". It matches the Rfam family "Bacterial small subunit ribosomal RNA", at positions 524 to 776 of the family's 1533-position model. The record is from RNAcentral.
UACGUAGGGUGCAAGCAGUAAUCGGAAUUAUUGGGCGUAAAGGGCGCGUAGGCGGAGAUGUAAGUCAGAUGUGAAAUCCCGGGGCUCAACCCCGGAACAGCAUUUGAAACUGCGUUUCUAGAGGGUAGGCGGAGAAAACGGAAUUCCACAAGUAGCGGUGAAAUGCGUAGAUAUGUGGAAGAACACCAGUGGCGAAGGCGGUUUUCUAGCUUAUACCUGACGCUAAAGCGCGAAAGCCAGGGGAGCAAACAGU